RNAcentral lists this unclassified non-coding RNA (535 nucleotides) under Bombus terrestris (buff-tailed bumblebee). Its description in RNAcentral is "misc RNA ENSBTSG00005022986.1". The record is from RNAcentral. Lineage: Eukaryota; Metazoa; Arthropoda; Insecta; Hymenoptera; Apidae.
GAAGACUCGGAUCUAUGAAUUAAACAAUUAGAAUAGAAAGUUAAAAUAGGAAGAAAAGGAGGACAUUUUCGAUUACUUACCUGUGGACACAUCUUGCAUUGGUACUUUCUCGGCGGAUGAGAGUGUGGUCCACCUAAAUGGGGGUUCAGAUGCGACGGAUGAGAUGGUUUUACGGUCAAAGGUUGAGGAACCACCAGCAGACUCGCUGGAGGACUUCCGCUGCUGGAUCCCCCGGCGCCUCGAUAUUGUUCGUCACCUCAAAAUUAAUCGAACCUAGAGCAUCAUAGAAAUCUUCUUAGCUUGCUCUAUUACGAAUAAAUACAUUGUACGUCAUAUAAAAAUAUAAAUAUAAAUUCGACAGGAAAUUCCAAUUCCCUAUGCCACGAAUACAUGAAAAAUUCACAGCUUGCAAUACUAGAAACUGGCAACUUUGACGAGAAACAUGUUACACGUCGCGAGGAAAAUAAUAUUUCUCCCCAGGUAGUUCUCAUCGUCCGUAUACUAUCCGUUUGAGAAACAAAUUAACAGAGAGAAC